RNAcentral lists this transfer RNA (77 nucleotides) under Pedobacter sp. Its description in RNAcentral is "tRNA-Arg". It matches the Rfam family "tRNA". From Rfam's summary of the family: Transfer RNA (tRNA) molecules are approximately 80 nucleotides in length. Their secondary structure includes four short double-helical elements and three loops (D, anti-codon, and T loops). Further hydrogen bonds mediate the characteristic L-shaped molecular structure. tRNAs have two regions of fundamental functional importance: the anti-codon, which is responsible for specific mRNA codon recognition, and the 3' end, to which the tRNAs corresponding amino acid is attached (by aminoacyl-tRNA synthetases). tRNAs cope with the degeneracy of the genetic code in two manners: having more than one tRNA (with a specific anti-codon) for a particular amino acid; and 'wobble' base-pairing, i.e. permitting non-standard base-pairing at the 3rd anti-codon position. The record is from RNAcentral. Lineage: Bacteria; Pseudomonadati; Bacteroidota; Sphingobacteriia; Sphingobacteriales; Sphingobacteriaceae. RNAcentral also lists the same sequence under 1 other name.
GCCUCCAUAGCUCAGCUGGAUAGAGCACCGGUUUUCUAAACCGUAGGUCACAGGUUCGAAUCCUGUUGGGGGUACAA